Molecule: small RNA, 28 nt
Filed under: Bombyx mori (domestic silkworm)
Lineage: Eukaryota; Metazoa; Arthropoda; Insecta; Lepidoptera; Bombycidae
Description: piRNA piR-bmo-1281423
Source: RNAcentral
AGCCAAGGUGUGGACACAGAAUGUAAUU